CGCGAUUCGCCCUUGGGUGCACCAGGCGCGAAAACUUUACAAUGCCGGCAACGGCGAUAAGGGAACCUCGAGUGCCAGGUUACAAAUCUGGCUGUCGUGAUGCCUAAAAAGCAUUGCAUAGCAAGGGCCGGGCAAGACCGGUGCCAGCCGCCGCGGUAACACCGGCGGCUCGAGUGGUAACCGUUAUUAUUGGGUCUAAAGGGUCUGUAGCCGGCCGGGUAAGUCUCUUGGGAAAUCUGGCAGCUUAACUGUCAGGCUUUCAGGAGAUACUGCCUGGCUCGAGGCCGGGAGAGGUGAGAGGUACUUCAGGGGUAGGGGUGAAAUCUUGUAAUCCUUGAAGGACCACCAGUGGCGAAGGCGUCUCACCAGAACGGACCUGACGGCAAGGGACGAAAGCUAGGGGCACGAAUCGGAUUAGAUACCCGGGUAGUCCUAGCCGUAAACGAUACUCGCUAGGUGUCGGCCACGGUGCGACCGUGGUCGGUGCCGUAGGGAAGCCGUGAAGCGAGCCACCUGGGAAGUACGGCCGCAAGGCUGAAACUUAAAGGAAUUGGCGGGGGAGCAC
Molecule: ribosomal RNA, 565 nt
Filed under: uncultured archaeon
Lineage: Archaea
Description: bacterial SSU rRNA
Rfam family: Archaeal small subunit ribosomal RNA
Source: RNAcentral